RNAcentral lists this ribosomal RNA (253 nucleotides) under uncultured bacterium. Its description in RNAcentral is "partial 16S ribosomal RNA". It matches the Rfam family "Bacterial small subunit ribosomal RNA", at positions 524 to 776 of the family's 1533-position model. The record is from RNAcentral.
UACAGAGGGGGCAAGCGUUGUUCGGAAUUACUGGGCGUAAAGGGCUCGUAGGCGGCUAAGCAAGUCGGGCGUGAAAUCCCACCGCUCAACGGUGGAAGUGCACCCGAAACUGCAUAGCUAGAGUCCUGGAGAGGAAGGUGGAAUGCUUGGUGUAGAGGUGAAAUUCGUAGAUAUCAAGCAGAACACCUGCGGCGAAGGCGGCCUUCUGGACGAUGACUGACGCUGAGACGCGAAAGCGUGGGGAGCAAACAGG